UACGGAGGGGGCAAGCGUUGCUCGGAAUUAUUGGGCGUAAAGGGCGCGUAGGCGGUCGUGUGCGUCGGAGGUGAAAUCCCCGGGCUUAACCCGGGAACUGCCUCCGAUACGGCAUGGCUUGAGUCCGGGAGAGGGGAGCGGAAUUCCCAGUGUAGCGGUGAAAUGCGUAGAUAUUGGGAGGAACACCGGUGGCGAAGGCGGCUCCCUGGACCGGUACUGACGCUGAGGCGCGAAAGCGUGGGUAGCAAACAGG
Molecule: ribosomal RNA, 253 nt
Filed under: uncultured bacterium
Lineage: Bacteria
Description: partial 16S ribosomal RNA
Rfam family: Bacterial small subunit ribosomal RNA
Source: RNAcentral